GGAGACCCCCUAAUUGACGUAACAACUUCACUUAUGAUCGUUUUAAAAAUGAGUGUCUGCAAGUUGCAUUGUAAACAGUUGUACAAUACGAAAAUUAAUCAACGUGAAUGCAAAUAUUAUAAUGAUUUCACGAAAAGUAACUUUUGUGACAUCUUGACAACCGUAUACAAAGUUCAUUUCACUUUUCUACCUUCUAAACACAAGAGGUCGAAUUCUUUUGUUCUUUUUAAACCGCAUACCAGACUGUUUACAACCACUUCCAAUGCCUCCAACAACAACAAAAACGGUAAAAACUGUGUCACAAAAAGUUGAUUACGGCUGUUAAAGAAACAUGUAGCCAAAUGAUUGAGGAAUGCAUUGCCAGUAAAUUCUUGUAUUGGUGUGUUGCGUGUCAAUAAACACUUGGUUUAAAGUACGUUCAGAUAAAGACAAAAAAACAUAAAAUAUAUAAAAAAAGAUAAGGUAUGAUUGCCAAAGAGACAACUAUCCACCAGUCGACAAGUUCAAAUAAAGUUAAUGUAACCAAUUACAUGUAUAGGCAAUCUUGUGACCUUGAUCAAUGAGAACAAAAAUCCCAUUCCGUUUAGUUGUCUAUAAAAAGGUCCCGACAUGAAAAAUAUAAAUCAAUUCAACUGAAAAAACCUAAGUUUAACGGCAUAAUUUAUAACAAAAAAAAAUGACAGACACGUACCAUCGACAACCACUUAUAACUACAGGCUCCUGGAUUGGAACCGUCUACGUUUUUGUGAGUGCUCAACCCUCUCCUAACCAGUGCAGUGGUUUAAUAACACAGCAUAAGAAUACACUGUAAAAAUCAGUUGAAAAUGGCUUAACUUAUCAGAUCGAUACAAAACAGGCUUUGAUUGACAACCAAAAACCACAUACGACUUGUACGCAGCGGUUUCCAGGCCAUCAAAAUGAGACAACAAUUCAACUCGAUUCCAGAAAUAAGAUACGGACUUCAACUUUAUUUCAUAAAAAAAGUUUUUUAUAUUAGUGG
This 1000-nucleotide long non-coding RNA is filed under the name Mytilus galloprovincialis (Mediterranean mussel). The record is from RNAcentral. Lineage: Eukaryota; Metazoa; Mollusca; Bivalvia; Mytilida; Mytilidae.